This 492-nucleotide ribosomal RNA is filed under the name uncultured bacterium. RNAcentral's name for it is "partial 16S ribosomal RNA". It matches the Rfam family "Bacterial small subunit ribosomal RNA", at positions 29 to 507 of the family's 1533-position model. The record is from RNAcentral.
AGUGAACGCUGGCGAUAGGCCUAACACAUGCAAGUCGAACGGCCGCACAGUAAGAGCUUGCUCUUACGGGUGGCGAGUGGCGGACGGGUGAGGAAUACAUCGGAAUCUACUUUUUCGUGGGGGAUAACGUAGGGAAACUUACGCUAAUACCGCAUACGACCUACGGGUGAAAGCAGGGGAUCUUCGGACCUUGCGCGAUUGAUUGAGCCGAUGUCGGAUUAGCUAGUUGGCGGGGUAAAGGCCCACCAAGGCGACGAUCCGUAGCUGGUCUGAGAGGAUGAUCAGCCACACUGGAACUGAGACACGGUCCAGACUCCUACGGGAGGCAGCAGUGGGGAAUAUUGGACAAUGGGCGCAAGCCUGAUCCAGCCAUACCGCGUGGGUGAAGAAGGCCUUCGGGUUGUAAAGCCCUUUUGUUGGGAAAGAAAAGCAGCAGGUUAAUACCCCGCUGUUCUGACGGUACCCAAAGAAUAAGCACCGGCUAACUUCGUG